Molecule: ribosomal RNA, 433 nt
Filed under: uncultured bacterium
Lineage: Bacteria
Description: partial 16S ribosomal RNA
Rfam family: Bacterial small subunit ribosomal RNA
Source: RNAcentral
AACGAACGCUGGCGGCAUGCCUAACACAUGCAAGUCGAACGAGACCUUCGGGUAUAUUGGCGCAUGGGUGCGUAACGCGUGGGAACUUGCUCUUAGGUUCGGAAUAACUCCCUGAAAGGGGUUCUAAUACCGGAUAAUUUGUUCAUACCAAAGAUUUAUCGCCUUUGGAUGGGGCCGCGUUUGUUUACCUUUUUGUUAGGGUAAAAGCCUACCAAGUCUCCGAUCCAUAGCUGGUCUGAGAGGAUAAUCAGACACACUGGGACUGAGACACGGCCCAGACUCCUACGGGAGGCAGCAGUGGGGAAUAUUGGAAAAUGGGCGGAAGCAUGAACCAGCAAUGCCGCGUGAGUAAUGUAGGCCUUAGGGUUGUAAAGCUCUUUUACCCGGGCAGAUAAUGACAGUACCGGGAGAAUAAGCUCCGGCUAACUCCGUG